GUUCCCGUGGUGUAGUGGUUAUCACAUCCGCCUAACACGCGGAAGGUCCUCGGUUCGAGGCCGGGCGGGAACA
RNAcentral lists this transfer RNA (73 nucleotides) under Glossina brevipalpis. RNAcentral describes it as "tRNA tRNA-Val". Lineage: Eukaryota; Metazoa; Arthropoda; Insecta; Diptera; Glossinidae. The record is from RNAcentral.